GUGGAUCCUGGCAGCUCCAGGCCUCCACGAAAAACACCUGCUCUGCUGGCAGCCGGGAAGGAGAGGCCCAGAAUAGCUCAGCCACCCACUCCUGGAAACACAGGAACCACCCCCCAUUCCCCGCCGGCUACUGCAGGCAAGGAGGGAAUGUCAGGAGACUGGCUGAGGGAGGCCUACUUGGACGAUUCACCCAACACUAUGAAAAGGCCUGGAAGGUCCCUACAAUGGGAAGAGGGCAAAAGGUCUUCAUCAUGGACGUGUUCAACAUGGCACCCGACGUGGCCCUUUUACAAAGGGACCUGUGGCCAGGAAGACUGGGAAGUACUGCCUUGGGGAUUCACGAGGAACAGGAGCCUCUGGGAGGAAAAGACAAAGCAAAUCCAUGUCUGGAUUUCCCACACACCUUUCUUCAGUUAACUAUUCCAGAUACCACCAGCGUGGAAGAAGAGCACAGCCCAGGCCUUCAAGCAGUUGCCUGGAUAUGGUUGGUUGGAUGCUCUUUUACCAUAGCGAAUUAUUGUUGCUUCCCUGUUCCCAUUUCUGCUUUUGUAAUAUGGGACAAAUGUAACUGAGAAAAAG
Molecule: long non-coding RNA, 579 nt
Filed under: Cavia porcellus (domestic guinea pig)
Lineage: Eukaryota; Metazoa; Chordata; Mammalia; Rodentia; Caviidae
Description: lncRNA (ENSCPOG00000033742.1)
Source: RNAcentral